UACGUAGGGGGCUAGCGUUAUCCGGAAUUACUGGGCGUAAAGGGUGCGUAGGCGGUCUUUCAAGCCAGAGGUGAAAGGCUACGGCUCAACCGUAGUAAGCCUUUGAAACUGGGAAACUUGAGUGCAGGAGAGGAGAGUGGAAUUCCUAGUGUAGCGGUGAAAUGCGUAGAUAUCGGGGGGAACACCAGUGGCGAAGGCGGCUUCCUGGACUGUACCUGACGCUGAGGCGCGAAAGCUAGGGGAGCAAACAGGAUUAGAUACCCGUGUAGUCCCUGAGCGGG
Molecule: ribosomal RNA, 281 nt
Filed under: uncultured prokaryote
Description: partial 16S ribosomal RNA
Rfam family: Bacterial small subunit ribosomal RNA
Source: RNAcentral